RNAcentral lists this ribosomal RNA (469 nucleotides) under uncultured bacterium. Its description in RNAcentral is "bacterial SSU rRNA". It matches the Rfam family "Bacterial small subunit ribosomal RNA", at positions 331 to 792 of the family's 1533-position model. The record is from RNAcentral.
CCAGACUCCUACGGGAGGCAGCAGUAGGGAAUAUUGCUCAAUGGGGGAAACCCUGAAGCAGCAACGCCGCGUGUAUGAAGAAGGCCUUCGGGUUGUAAAGUACUUUCAGCGGGGAGGAAGGCGAUAAGGUUAAUAACCUUGUUGAUUGACGUUACCCGCAGAAGAAGCACCGGCUAACUCCGUGCCAGCAGCCGCGGUAAUACGGAGGGUGCAAGCGUUAAUCGGAAUUACUGGGCGUAAAGCGCACGCAGGCGGUCUGUCAAGUCGGAUGUGAAAUCCCCGGGCUCAACCUGGGAACUGCAUUCGAAACUGGCAGGCUGGAGUCUUGUAGAGGGGGGUAGAAUUCCAGGUGUAGCGGUGAAAUGCGUAGAGAUCUGGAGGAAUACCGGUGGCGAAGGCGGCCCCCCGGACAAAGACUGACGCUCAGGUGCGAAAGCGUGGGGAGCAAACAGGAUUAGAUACCCUUGUA